GGAACGGCCCAAAGCCUAUUUGAAAUCGAAAUUGAUCGCCGUCCUCCGAAUCCCUGACGCCCGCCGCAUCCAAAUUCGUCGUCUUUCCCAUGGCUGGUGAGUCGACGGAGGCAGUCUCCCGCUAGACGUUCUUUUUAGCCUACCGCGCGGCCACCGCCUAAUAAUGGACCAGCGUGAGUGAUGAGGAACUCCUACGCCGGUCGCGUGACGGCGUCCCACGGCCAAUAACCUACCCUUGGAGACUGUGAAGUCGAUCCCAGCAAGGCAACGGAAGGCGCCGCGUCCCGCGCAGAUUGGGAUCGAAGAUUUGUUCAUCCUCAAGUUUAAAUGUGCGAGCUUUUUGUGUCAAAGAAUGCCCUUUUUCAUGCAUCUAUAAGAUUAUCAGAUAAUAUUGCAGGUUGUGCCUUGGCUAAGCUCAAACAUGCACUCACCACCAAUCCUAAUGGGACAAUGCAUUCCUUAAUCAAGGGCGCUUCAUGUUGUAUUAGAUGUACUCAGGCUGGGAAUUCGAAAAGCAUUGAAUUAUGACAACAUGUUCCAUUGGGAAGUAACAUAUAUAUGCUUUCAGUGGAGGAGAAUCAAUGAUUGCUCCCAUUACUAAGCUUUGCUGAUCUCACAGUUUGUGAAAUUUCUCAAAAGGAGUAGUGAUGGCUGGCGUCUGGGAUAGGGUUUGCUGAAUUCAGAAGAGCUGACAAGAAGCUACAAGUAGUAGCAGGGUAAGGAGGGAUAAGAACAAGAUGGAAGAUAGGGAUCAAAAGGCCAAGAUAGUUCCUUCUCCAGGACGAAGAUAAUUCCAUUGUAGCAAAAGAAGGAUAAGAAGACAAAAGUGCAUGAAGAUGCUUAUCACUGGGUGCUGCUCAUGGUGUGAUGAGGUAACCCAUUUGGUUCCUCUACCAACAAUGUGUGAGGUUUUUGGGGCUCCCAAUUCUGCCACUUGAUGGCACAUAAGAAGAUAUUUAGCCAUGAUCUUCUCCUUUGCUCUUUUUUUUUGCUCCCUUGGAACAAGAUAUUGCAACACUUGCUGCAUAUUUGCUUUGUACCUUCUCUUUUCUUAUUCCCCCCUCUUGUUCUGCUGGUGAAAUAAUUCCACACCUGGGAUCACUAAGUUUCAUGUAUUUUAUAUUACUUAUUUA
This is a long non-coding RNA of Musa acuminata AAA Group (dessert banana), 1133 nucleotides long. RefSeq lists it as uncharacterized. The record is from RefSeq and is a predicted model, not a curated record. NCBI's taxonomy places the organism in Eukaryota, Viridiplantae, Streptophyta, Magnoliopsida, Zingiberales, Musaceae. The transcript is spliced from 3 exons.